GGGGCUUUAGCUCAGCUGGGAGAGCGCAACACUGGCAGUGUUGAGGUCAGCGGUUCGAUCCCGCUCAGCUCCACCA
Molecule: transfer RNA, 76 nt
Filed under: Cellvibrio sp.
Lineage: Bacteria; Pseudomonadati; Pseudomonadota; Gammaproteobacteria; Cellvibrionales; Cellvibrionaceae
Description: tRNA-Ala
Rfam family: tRNA
About the family: Transfer RNA (tRNA) molecules are approximately 80 nucleotides in length.
Source: RNAcentral